Molecule: ribosomal RNA, 600 nt
Filed under: uncultured bacterium
Lineage: Bacteria
Description: bacterial SSU rRNA
Rfam family: Bacterial small subunit ribosomal RNA (bases 1-519)
Source: RNAcentral
CCUACGGGAGGCAGCAGUCGGGAAUUUUGCGCAAUGGACGAAAGUCUGACGCAGCAACGCCGCGUGAGGGAUGACGGCCUUCGGGUUGUAAACCUCUUUUGUCAGGGAAGAUAAUGACGGUACCUGGCGAAUAAGUCACGGCUAACUACGUGCCAGCAGCCGCGGUAAUACGUAGGUGACAAGCGUUGUCCGGAUUUACUGGGCGUAAAGAGCGCGCAGGCGGUCGUUCAAGUCGAGUGUGAAAGCCCCCGGCUCAACUGGGGAGGGUCAUUCGAUACUGAUCGACUCGAAGGCAGGAGAGGGUAGUGGAAUUCCCGGUGUAGUGGUGAAAUGCGUAGAUAUCGGGAGGAACACCAGUGGCGAAGGCGACUACCUGGCCUGUUCUUGACGCUGAGGCGCGAAAGCUAGGGGAGCAAACGGGAUUAGAUACCCCGGUAGUCCUAGCCGUAAACGAUGGACACUAGGUGUUGGUGGUAUCAACCCCGCCAGUGCCGAAGCUAACGCAUUAAGUGUCCCGCCUGGGGAGGUACGGCCGCGACGACGAACUACAAGAAGUAGACGGCGUGAGACGUGCCGAACGGACGACGACGAGGGAGGAGG